This 1479-nucleotide ribosomal RNA is filed under the name Triticum aestivum (bread wheat). RNAcentral's name for it is "partial small subunit ribosomal RNA". The record is from RNAcentral. Lineage: Eukaryota; Viridiplantae; Streptophyta; Magnoliopsida; Poales; Poaceae.
AUGACUAACCCUACUACUAAUAGCCUUCAUGAGUCUUGUGAUGAUGCAGGAAAAAGCAGUGAAAAAAUCAUGGAAGAUGGUGAAGAAAAUAUUGCAGCAGAUUCAUAUUUCAUGUGCCCUGAACUGGGGAGCAAAUCCCUCUUGGGAUCUGGUCAGGAGCUGCCGCGCAGCGAAUCCGCCUCGGGAUCGGUGCCUUGCAGGGAAUCUGCUGCGACAGCCCCGAUAGCCGCAGGCAUCCUGGAUGGCAUCGGCGACUCCCCUCGGGCACUCCAAUCGCCGUCCGCCAGAUGGCAGGCCGACGCUGGCCUGGGCCGCGGGCGGCUUGAGGCCCAACCGGUCGUCUACAAGCGGCCGACAGCGACUCGCCUGACGGGAGCGGGGACAGACCCUUCCUCCUUGGGAUCGGGGGAGGAUCAGUUUGAUCCAAGCGUGGGAUCCUCUGCGCCGGGGCUCUCUGUAGUGGCUCCUGCUACUACUCCACGUCGCACACGGCUACAGCAAAGCAUAAUUAAACCUAUUGAUUAUAGACAUAUUACAAAAUAUGGGAUGAUUUGUUCAAUAGGUGAACCAAGAGAACCCAACACUCUUGAAGAAGCCAUUGGUGAUGCUAAUUGGAGAAAGGCAAUGCAUGAUGAAAUUGUGGCACUAAGGAAAAACAAAACAUGGCACUUGGUCCCUUCAAGCAAAGGUAAAAAUCUUAUUGACUGUAAGUGGAUCUUUAGGAUAAAAAGAAAAGCUGAUGGAGCUAUUGAUUGUUACAAAGCUAGACUCGUUGCAAAGGGUUUUAAACAAAGGUAUGACAUUGACUAUGAGGACACAUUCAGUCCAGUUGCUAAAGCUGCUACCAUUCGCCUUGUCUUGUCCAUUGCUGUGUCUAGGGGAUGGAGUCUACGACAGCUAGACGUUCAGAACGCGUUCCUCCACGGUGUUCUGGAAGAAGAGGUUUACAUGAAACAACCUCCUGGGUUUGUAAAUGCACGGGCACCACUUCAUGUGUGCAAACUUGACAAGGCCUUGUAUGGACUGAUACAGGACCCAAGAGCAUGGUAUUCUCGCCUCAGUAAAAAGAUGCAAACACUUGGUUUUGUUCCUUCAAAGUCUGACACUUCGUUAUUUAUCUAUAACAAGUCAAGAAUAUCCAUAUUUGUUCUCAUUUAUGUUGAUGAUAUAAUUGCAACAAGUUCAUCUGAUGAAGCAAUAACAACACUGUUGAAGGAUUUAAGUGCAGAAUUUGCUCUAAAGGAUCUAGGAGAUCUACACUACUUUCUUGGUAUUGAGGUCAAGCAACACAAGGAUGGUCUUCACCUCUCUCAAGAAAAGUAUGCAACAGACUUGGUAAAAAAGGCUGGUUUGCAAAGUUGUAAGUCUGCACCUACUCCUUUAUCUAGCAUAGAAAAAUUGUCUCUUUCUGAAGGAGAGCCUCUGAAUUCAGAAAAUAGUACAAAAUACAGGAGCCUGGUAGGUGCACUUCAAUACUAA